UACGUAGGCAGCAAGCGUUGUUCGGAGUUACUGGGCGUAAAGAGUGCGUAGGCGGUUUCGUAAGUUUGGUGUGAAAUCUCCCGGCUUAACUGGGAGGGUGCGCCGAAAACUGCGGGGCUGGAGUGUGGGAGAGGUAAGCGGAAUUCCUGGUGUAGCGGUGAAAUGCGUAGAUAUCAGGAGGAACACCGGCGGUGUAGACGGCUUUCUGGACCGUAACUGACGCUGAGACACGAAAGCGUGGGUAGCAAACAGG
This 253-nucleotide ribosomal RNA is filed under the name uncultured bacterium. RNAcentral describes it as "partial 16S ribosomal RNA". It matches the Rfam family "Bacterial small subunit ribosomal RNA", at positions 524 to 776 of the family's 1533-position model. The record is from RNAcentral.